This 690-nucleotide ribosomal RNA is filed under the name Triticum aestivum (bread wheat). RNAcentral describes it as "partial small subunit ribosomal RNA". Lineage: Eukaryota; Viridiplantae; Streptophyta; Magnoliopsida; Poales; Poaceae. The record is from RNAcentral.
AUGCAAAAGGAAUUUUGUUUGUCGAUGCUUGAUGAGGCAACAACAGCAACUGCGAGGCCCAAGUUCAAGAUUAUGCAUAAUGUUGUCCAUAUUUACGAGAAGUGGUUUAACAUGACAAAGAAGAAUAUAACAUAUUAUCUGCUGGAUGGGGAGGAAGAGCCUAUGAGGCCUAUACAUGGCAACUGUAUUGGCAAAGUGAUGUUCGUAAUGGCCGUUGCUAGGCCAAGGUGGGACAGUGAAGGAAACGUGACCUUCUCUGGGAAAAUUGAUAUCUGGCCAUUCGUGAAAGAAGUUCCUGCUCAGAGGAGAAGCGACAACAGGCCCAGAGGUACAAUAGAGACAAAGUCAAUAAAGGCCGACAUGAAAGUGAUGAGGGAGUUCCUGAUAGAGAAGGUCUUACUAGCGAUACAAGCUGUUUGGCCGGAAAGUGAUGCUGGACAGACCAUCUACAUUCAGCAGGAUAAUGCUAAGCCCCAUAUCUUGCCAGAUGGCCCCGAAUUUCUAGCAGUUGUCGCAAAAACUGGACUUGACAUUAGAAUAAUACAACAACCCGCCAACAUUCCUGAUUUGAAUGUGCUUGACCUUGGGGUUUUCAACUCGCUGCAAUCCUUGACAGACUGUCUGAGUCCUAAAACACUACAAGUUCUUAUUGCAGGUGUUUUGGAGGAAUUUGAAGGCUAUGAGGUUUAG